RNAcentral lists this long non-coding RNA (633 nucleotides) under Lynx pardinus (Iberian lynx). Lineage: Eukaryota; Metazoa; Chordata; Mammalia; Carnivora; Felidae. The record is from RNAcentral.
CACAUUUAAAAAGUAAUCACACUACAGAGUUAGUAACAGUAUCAUUUCUAUCCCUCAACUAUUGGUAUUUUGAAGAGGAGAGCAAUACAAGGGUGGCACUGAACACACAUACACAGACACACAAAAUGAAUUAGAGGCAUUAACAAAGAACAUACUUUUUAGUAAGGACGUCCCUGUUGCUCUUCAAAUCACACUCCUAAGGUACCACAUCUACAAGGAAGGCCCAGGCACAGACUGAAAGGAUCGCGACUGCCUUGGGGGCCACAGAUCACCUCUGCUUCAGGCUGGAAUGUUCCUUCUCCACAGAGUCCAGGAACUGACAUACGCAAACACCCACCCAGAAGGACAUGUCCAAGAAGGAAUGGAAAGAAAAAUGAUGGCCCAGAUGUUCUGUAACUUGCAGUGACUGCCAAAUCACCAAGACCCCAAGCACCUGGGAGGGCCAGGCAGCAUCAGGCCCUUGCUUCCCGGUCUCAGACAGUCAGGGUUCCGUGUCUGGGUGGCGAUUCUGACAGCAAGCAGACUGGCCUGGAGAGAAGCCUUUAGAAGGGCACCAGCUGACAGGACUUGCGGGCUGAACACUCAGGGCUGAUUUAUCACUUCCUUACUCAUAAAAAUGUGAUUCAAACUGCU